Molecule: ribosomal RNA, 410 nt
Filed under: Verrucomicrobiota bacterium
Lineage: Bacteria; Pseudomonadati; Verrucomicrobiota
Description: Verrucomicrobia bacterium partial 16S ribosomal RNA
Rfam family: Bacterial small subunit ribosomal RNA
Source: RNAcentral
UGGGGAAUUUUGCACAAUGGGCGCAAGCCUGAUGCAGCGACGCCGCGUGCGGGAUGAAGGCCUUCGGGUUGUAAACCGCUUUCAGCAGGGACGAGGCCGCAAGGUGACGGUACCUGCAGAAGAAGCCCCGGCUAACUACGUGCCAGCAGCCGCGGUAAUACGUAGGGGGCAAGCGUUAUCCGGAUUCAUUGGGCGUAAAGCGCGCGUAGGCGGUUUGUUAGGUCAGGAGUUAAAUCUGGGGGCUCAACCCCUAUCCGCUCCUGAUACCGGCAGGCUUGAGUCUGGUAGGGGAAGGCGGAAUUCCAAGUGUAGCGGUGAAAUGCGCAGAUAUUUGGAAGAACACCGGUGGCGAAGGCGGCCUUCUGGGCCACGACUGACGCUGAGGCGCGAAAGCUAGGGGAGCGAACAGG